UACGUAGGGUGCAAGCGUUAAUCGGAAUUACUGGGCGUAAAGCGUGCGCAGGCGGUGAUGUAAGACAGAUGUGAAAUCCCCAGGCUCAACCUGGGAACUGCGUCUGAUACUGGAUGGCUUGAAUCCGGGAGAGGGAUGCAGAAUUCCAGGUGUAGCGGUGAAAUGCGUAGAUAUCUGGAGGAAUACCGGUGGCGAAGGCGGCAUCCUGGACCGGCAUUGACGCUGAGGAGCGAAAGCCAGGGGAGCAAACGGG
This 253-nucleotide ribosomal RNA is filed under the name uncultured bacterium. Its description in RNAcentral is "partial 16S ribosomal RNA". It matches the Rfam family "Bacterial small subunit ribosomal RNA", at positions 524 to 776 of the family's 1533-position model. The record is from RNAcentral.